Molecule: long non-coding RNA, 881 nt
Filed under: Salmo salar (Atlantic salmon)
Lineage: Eukaryota; Metazoa; Chordata; Actinopteri; Salmoniformes; Salmonidae
Description: lncRNA (ENSSSAG00000106315.1)
Source: RNAcentral
AGAGUAGAACAGGAUGAGACAGGGAGGAACAGAGAGAGAGAGUAGAACAGGAUGAGACAGGGAGGAACAGAGAGAGUAGAACAGGAUGAGACAGGGAGGAACAGAGAGAGAGUAGAACAGGAUGAGACAGGGAGGAACAGAGAGAGUAGAAUAGGAUGAGACAGGGAGGAACAGAGAGAGAGUAGAACAGGGAGGAACAGAGAGAGUAGAACAGGAUGAGACAGGGAGGAACAGAGAGAGAGUAGAACAGGAUGAGACAGGGAGGAACAGAGAGAGAAUAGAACAGGAUGAGACAGGGAGGAACAGAGAGAGUAGAACAGGAUGAGACAGGGAGGAACAGAGAGAGUAGAACAGGAUGAGACAGGGAGGAACAGAGAGAGUAGAACAGGAUGAGACAGGGAGGAACAGAGAGAGAGUAGAACAGGAUGAGACAGGGAGGAACAGAGAGAGUAGAACAGGAUGAGACAGGGAGGAACAGAGAGAGUAGAACAGGAUGAGACAGGGAGGAACAGAGAGAGAGUAGAACAGGAUGAGACAGGGAGGAACAGAGAGAGUAGAACAGGAUGAGACAGGGAGGAACAGAGAGAGAGUAGAACAGGAUGAGACAGGGAGGAACAGAGAGAGAGUAGAACAGGAUGAGACAGGGAGGAACAGAGAGAGAGUAGAACAGGAUGAGACAGGGAGGAACAGAGAGAGUAGAACAGGAUUAGACAGGGAGGAACAGAGAGAGUAGAACAGGAUGAGACAGGGAGGAACAGAGAGAGUAGAACAGGAUGAGACAGGGAGGAACAGAGAGAGAGUAGAACAGGAUGAGACAGGGAGGAACAGAGAGAGAGUAGAACAGGAUGAGACAGGGAGGAACAGAGAGAGUAGAACAGGAU